This 315-nucleotide long non-coding RNA is filed under the name Felis catus (domestic cat). RNAcentral's name for it is "lncRNA (ENSFCAG00000041313.2)". Lineage: Eukaryota; Metazoa; Chordata; Mammalia; Carnivora; Felidae. The record is from RNAcentral.
AUGGUGGGGUGGUCUGGAGCUGAUGGCCGAGAAAGAAUCCUUGAAGACAUCUUUGGUGCAAAAAGAGUGGAAUUAAAGUUUAUAAGAACACCGCAAUCAACUCAGCAUUCUUGCAAAUAUAAUGAAACAAGAGUGAUCCAAGCUGGAGUUGUUAGACUGGAAUUGAUGACUUUAGGAAUCCAGAAUUAUUUGCUGGCCAAAAAGAGGAAAGAAGAAAACAUGAGAUUCUAUGUCAAAGUUAUGAGUUGAAAGCAAAGAGCAUGUCUUUCAAGAGUGGUGCCUGGUGAUUCUGAGUGGGAUACCCGGAACGAUUUU